CUGUCAGUGCUCUCCUCUUUGUUCAAACCGGUUCAGCUCCUCACCCGCAGCCUCGCCACCGGCGUACAGGGAGUGAGCACCUGCGCCAAGCGUCUAUCACGAUUUAGAUCAGAUAUCUCCAAAUUGGACAUGAGGCAGAUGCUGAAUAUUAGUCGUGGAGCAGACAAUUGACCUAUUUGCUGAAGGUGUAGCGCGUUGAAUCUUUUUUUGCUCACUUACCGGUUCUUUUUGUUUUUGCCGUUUCACCCAUUCGACUCAUCGCUGACAGUCAGACGAUACGAUUGGAGCACCGGGGUAGGCUACGUUUGAAACACCUGCACAAAAGCGCAACGUACCGCUCUAACAUUCCUGCGGAAUUUGUAAAAACUUCUUUCAGGCCAAAGCAACUGCCCAUGCACCUGAUCCCUUCCACCGGAUGUUACCAGCCACAUUGACCUCUAACCUGUAGCCGUUCACCUCUGACCCCUACCAGACAUACAGCUGGAGGAACGGACCUGGCGCAGGAGUCUUAACAGGGGCUGAGAGGUCCAGGAUGGCUGUGGCUGUGCAUGUACCUGGUCGACAGGCUGUCCCGUCUCUGCUGCUGCUUCUGUGUGCUGGCCUAGGCGUGAGCGAGGCAGCCUCCAUAGUGAACAUGCGUAGAGUCAUCCACCCUACCGUACAAGAGCCACUGGCCGGGUUCGCUCACCUCCCCUGCGUCUUCACCCACAAGCCCAGUGAGCCCAGCCCCUCUAGCCAGCCUCCCCAUAUCCAGUGGACCCGAACCUGGGUACUGCGUGGAGGAAUGGGGGAUCCCCUGGAGCAGAUGGUUCUCUCAGCCAAAGGUGACGUGGUGAAGGUGAAUAAGGCUUUCGCUGGGCGGGUCAGGUUGCUUGGAUACGCUGCCAACAACCUAAAUGCUACCAUGGAGAUCUCAGGCCUCCGUAGCAACGACACAGGCACCUACCACUGCCAGGUUGUCGUGGGCGACAACUACGAGCGAGACGUAUUGCCCCUUGUGGUCAUGGGUGUUGUGUUCCAUUACCGGUCUCCUAGUGACCGUUACGCCCUCUCAUUCGAUGACGCCCAGUGGGUCUGUCAGGAGAACUCUGCCCUCAUCGCCACGCCGACCCAGCUGUGGGCAGUUUUCUACAAUGGCUAUGCAAACUGUGCUGCCGGAUGGCUCUCCGACCAGACUGUCCGCUAUCCCAUCCAGUCACCAGAGCGUGGUUGCUAUGGACAACAAGAGUACUCGGCUGGUGUGAGGAAUUAUGGGAAGAGAGACCCUAAUGAGCUGUUUGAUGUCUACUGUUUCGCCGGGGAACUGGACGGUGAGGUAUUCCACUCAUGGGUCCCAGGGCGUCUGACUCUACCCUCUGCCUCAGAACGCUGCAUCUCCCUGGGGGGACAGUUGGCCACGGUGGGGCAGCUCUACCUGGCCUGGAAGGCUGGGCUGGACAGCUGUGCUCCAGGCUGGCUCUCUGACGGCAGUGUCCGCUACCCUAUCACCCAGCCCAGGCAGGGCUGUGGAGGGGACCAGCCAGGGGUCUGGACCGUCGUUCCCAACACCAGUGAAACCACAACCAGCAGCGGAUCUGCUAAUGCUACGGACGCCACACCACUCUAUGAUGCCUAUUGCUACAGAGGGAACGUAAAGAAGCCAGGCCCCAUCUCUAAAAUCUACACGUCUCUGUGGAAGCCCUGGAGCUACCUGACCGGCCCCAGCGACACAGGCACUCCAGGAACAGGCAGCCUUUCCCUGGCUACUGAGACCAGCAGCAGCCCCCCGACCACAGGGAGCCGUAACCUUUCACCUUCUGGUGACCUCACACCUUCGACCUGGUCAGGAUUGAUUGAUCUGGAGGAAGAGGCCCGCUCUUCUUCAGACCCCUGGUCCUCAGAGUCCUCUGAGGGGUAUGUCACCCUGCAGCUGAGCCCAGGAGAGAGCUCUCUAGCCUGGGGAGAUCUGGGAGACAUGGACCCUAACUCUGGAGUUUUCCUCAGACCUCCAGCCACGCCCAGCCACGGUCCAAGUUCUACCACACAGAAAGAGGAGUUAUCAGCCCCCACUGACAGAAAGGUGAUGGCCAAGAUAGUGAAGUCCAUGUGGAAGCCGUGGAACUACCUGGCAGGGGUGACAGAAGGUACCCCAGGAAGAGGCAGUCCAGAGGUGGAGAGAAGGGGAACUACGGGGGGGACUGAGAGCGGGACUGUGCCCACCGGUUCUCCUGGCUCUCCUGCUCCAGGUUUACUCUCAUGGGGUCAUGGGUGGUGGGAUAGCUUAGGGCUGGGGGAACUAGAUGAUAUACCACCCACUGGUGAGCCCUCGUCCUCCCCAGCCCGGCUCACCUCUACCCCAGCCUCGGAGAGCCAGUCCUCUGCCUCCUCCUCCACCCCUGGAGGACGGGAGGCUGUCCCAGACACCACUCAGCCCAAAGGGGGGACGUUGGUACAUGUGGCCCCAUCAAAAGUUGAGAUCUCGCCCCAGCCGGAUUAUAUUCCCACUAGAGCAGAUGGCCUGGCCAGUGUUGGGAGAGAGAGAGUGAUGGUGAAAGAGGAGGGGAGUGCUGAGGGGGCCUCCGAAGAGGCGGGAGGGAAGAUCCAGUUCACCCGUCUCCCCGUUGGAACCAGAAAACCCAUAAUCAGAGUCCCUCCAUCCAACGAGAGAACCACAAGGAAGGAUCAGUCAGGAGCCAGUCGCAGCACAACUCAACCACCAGUCAGCAGCUCCCCUGCUGGGUCAGACAGCAGAGACUCUUUCCCUCCAUCCAGACCAGGUACUGGAGCUCUAGCCCCUCCACCCUCAGCCUCAGUCAUCCAGGGAAGCUCCAAGGAGGCCUCAUGGUCCCUCUCCUGGGUCUCAGUGGAGAGAUCUGCAGAGCAGGGAGGUGAGGGUCCAGAAAGUGGGCCCUUGGCGCUGCCCUCCGGACCCCCAGUGGAAGAAGAUACAGCCUGGUCUCACGCACUGGGCUCUGGUUUGCCUAGCAACCUGGGAGAGGAGGGUGGCAGGAGUGCAGGAUUCAACCGGAGCAACAGAACUCUGGGCUCAGCUGGUGUGGGGGAGCCCUGUGUGACCAACCCAUGUCUGCAUGGAGGGCAGUGUGUGCCUCAGGGCAAGGGCUACAGCUGCUACUGCCCACAAGGCUUCACGGGGGAGAACUGUGAGAUCGACGUGGAUGACUGCCAGUCCAGUCCAUGUCUAAACGGAGGCACCUGCAUCGACAAGAUCCACUCGUUUGUCUGCCUCUGUCUGCCCAGCUACGCAGGAGACACCUGUGAGAAGGAUGUUGAGAGUUGUGAACAUGGAUGGAGGAAGUUCCAUGGCCACUGCUACAGGUACUUCUCUCACAGACACACCUGGGAGGAUGCAGAGAAGGACUGCAGAGUGCACAGCGCCCAUCUUAGUAGUAUCACCUCAGUCACAGAGCAGGAGUUCAUCAAUGGUCUGGGCCAUGAUAACGCCUGGAUUGGCCUGAAUGAUCGCACAGUGGAGGAGGACUUCCAAUGGACUGAUGUCAAUGACCUGGUAUAUGAGAACUGGCGAGAGAGCCAGCCUGAUAACUUCUUCGCGGGUGGAGAGGAUUGUGUGGUGACCAUCGCCCAUGAGGAUGGCAAGUGGAACGAUGUGCCCUGCAACUAUAACCUGCCCUACGUCUGCAAGAAAGGCACAGACUUUUUUGUUAUUGUCGGCCCGUCUGACAGUGCUGUGUGGAACCCCACCCGCCGUGGAGAACGCCCAUCUGAUUGGCCGUCGGCGGUCCCACUAUGACAUACAUGCUGUUGUGCGUUACCAGUGUACUGAAGGUUUCUACCAGCGCCACAUCCCCACUGCGCGUUGCCGGGCCAACGGCAUCUGGGACCGGCCCAAGAUCAUCUGCACAAAGUCUCAACGAUCCCACCGGUACCGCCGCAACCACCACCACGGCCAGCGCCGGGAGCGCAGGAACCACAGGAGACAUGGAGGAGAGGCACACAGGGAGAGGGAAGAUGAUGCCCACAGCCCCUACUGAACCAAAUACUACACUUCCCAUAAUGCCCUGUGCCGGACCCCUGACAAUAGUUGACGUUUAUUUUUUCCUGACCUAUUUCAGUCUGUCUCUUUGGGUUAAAUCCUCACUUGAGAUACUGUAUGUGUGCAAAACUUUUAUUCAAAUGACCUAUUGACAUCAGUGCAAAAAAAGUGAAUUGUUCACACGUACAUAUCUAAAGUGAGGAUUUGUUCCUUUGUUGUUGAUUUUGUUUACCCCAGGUCCAUUACAACAGUAAUACUUGUUCUCUCGCUAACACGGUCGCUAAUAUCUAAGAAACAGCAAAUCCUUGGCAUGUGUAUGGAUAACCUAUUCUCGCUGUCUAAACAUAGACAGUGACGUGUGUGUGUGUGUGUGUGUCAGGGUGUCUAUGCUAUGCGAGUGUAUGUGUUCUGCAACGUUUGAAGCUUGUUCUACAUCUCAGAACUCAUUUUAGUAUUCUGUUUCUAAAGCACAAAUGUAAUUAAUGCCAGUGAGCUAGUUAGCUUUCAGUCUCAAAUAUCCCAGAGCUUUUGUAUGUGUACUGUAUUUGUUAUGUUUCUUUAGGACUCCUGAAUAGCAGGUCUGUUUUAUUAUUCAACUUUCAUGCCAUUUUUAAUAUUUGCUAUCUCUUCAUGUUACUAUUUAUUAUGGACUCUUCGCAAGUUAAUAUACAGUAUGUUGAUUUGUUUUGACAUAAUCCAACGAGGCAAUGUAAUACCUUUUUGUUGUAUAUACCAUUCUUACAAUCAAAAGUAAUGAAGGUAACCCAAGUUAAUAUACAGUAUGUUGAUUUGUUUUGACAUAAUCCAACGAGGCAAUGUAAUACCUUUUUGUUGUAUAUACCAUUCUUACAAUCAAAAGUAAUGAAGGUAACCCUUUGAUGGCCUGUCUCUGUACUGUAAAUACUGUGGUGUUUUGUUUGUUUGUUAUUGACUGGUAUCUGAUUGAUACCUGAGCCUUGUCAUGACCCAGUCAUGUACCAGUCAUGACCCAGUCAUGUACCAGCCAUGACCCAGCCAUGUACCAGUCAUGUACCAGUCAUGUACCAGCCAUGACCCAGUCAUGUACCAGUCAUGUACUCCGUAUCGCCCUCUCAAAUAACAACUAAAACACACCCAUUGAUCUAGAUGGAAUAGGAUAGAUCGAAAUACUGCGGACUGGGACAAAACUUAACUUGGUAAUCUUUGCCCGGCUCCAAUAUGUGAGGGGCAGGAUGCCAUGAUUCGUAAUACAUAUGGUUCUUCUGAUAUUUGAUUGGGCGUAAUCCCUUUUUGUUGGUGUUAUGACUUCCUGUCCUGCUGUUGUGUUCCAUUCUUAAUAAAGCUGCAGAAACGUAAUGAACGA
Non-coding RNA from Oncorhynchus mykiss (rainbow trout), 5333 nucleotides. NCBI's taxonomy places the organism in Eukaryota, Metazoa, Chordata, Actinopteri, Salmoniformes, Salmonidae. The record is from RefSeq and is a predicted model, not a curated record.